This 396-nucleotide ribosomal RNA is filed under the name uncultured bacterium. Its description in RNAcentral is "bacterial SSU rRNA". It matches the Rfam family "Bacterial small subunit ribosomal RNA", at positions 28 to 408 of the family's 1533-position model. The record is from RNAcentral.
GACGAACGCUGGCGGUGUGCCUCAAACAUGCAAGUCGAGGGAGGGUUGGCGAGUGGCUUGCCAUUCGUUCAACUCUACCGGCAAACGGGUGAGUAACACGUGGGAAACCUGCCCUGAAGACGGGGACAACUUCGGGAAACCGGGGCUAAUACCCGAUACCCUCCACGGGGGGCAUCCUCUGUGGAGGAAAGGUUCCGCAAGGUUCGCUUCAGGAGGGUCCCGCGGCCUAUCAGCUAGUUGGUGGGGUAACGCCUACCAAGGCAUGACAGGUAGCUGGUCUGAGAGGACGAUCAGCCACACUGGGACUGAGACACGGCCCAGACUCCUACGGGAGGCAGCAGUUGGGAAUAUUGGGGCAAUGGGCGCAAGCCUGACCCAGCGACACCGCGUGGGGAC